GCUAAGCCCGUGCUCUCAGCGGCGGUAUUACUGAGGGUCCGGGCGUUAAUCGGAAUUACGGGGCGUAAAGCGUGCGCAGGCGGUUUGUUAAGCGAGAUGUGAAAGCCCUGGGCUCAACCUAGGAAUAGCAUUUCGAACUGGCGAACUAGAGUCGUGUAGAGGGGGGUAGAAUUCCAGGUGUAGCGGUGAAAUGCGUAGAGAUCUGGAGGAAUACCGGUGGCGAAGGCGGCCCCCUGGACAAAGACUGACGCUCAUGCACGAAAGCGUGGGGAGCAAACAGGAUUAGAUACCCGGGUAGUU
This 300-nucleotide ribosomal RNA is filed under the name uncultured Lactobacillus sp. RNAcentral describes it as "bacterial SSU rRNA". It matches the Rfam family "Bacterial small subunit ribosomal RNA", at positions 496 to 795 of the family's 1533-position model. The record is from RNAcentral. Lineage: Bacteria; Bacillati; Bacillota; Bacilli; Lactobacillales; Lactobacillaceae.